RNAcentral lists this long non-coding RNA (6833 nucleotides) under Gallus gallus (chicken). Lineage: Eukaryota; Metazoa; Chordata; Aves; Galliformes; Phasianidae. The record is from RNAcentral.
CUCAGACGUCGGGAGUAUGUUUGCUAACGUCGGGGAAACGGCGGUGGAGGAACGGAGCUGAGCGGCCCGAAUCUGGGGCUGGGUUGGGCAUGGGGGGCUCCGUGUCGCAGAGGAAGAAGAAAGAAAAAAAAAAACAAGGAAAAGGAAAGAAAAAAAAAAAGUGCUGUUUGGGGCUUUGGUUUUGAAAUGAACGUCGGCCCCGAGGUGUGUUUGCUCCGUGUCCCGUGGCUUAGGUGCGUGCGUGACGUGGGAUGAUUAAAUGCUCGCUCGCCUAAAAAGGAGCAUCCCAACCCCCGCCCCAUGAAAUCCCGGCUAUUCGCCUUUGUAAAUGCGCGUUACGAGCCCUUAUCCCCGCGCCCAGGACGGACGUGCGGUACCGGGGGCCGCUCUCACAUCGCGAUGGCCGCUCGCUGCGAAAAGUUUAUUGAUAGCUGCGGGGCUGUCAUCUUCGCCAAGCACAGGAGGCUCCGCACUCAUUUAGGGGCGCCAGCAGCGGCCGGAUCAAAGGAGCGGCCCGGAGGGGACCAUUGAGGACGUUAACCCGCAUCGGGGGAGCGAGGCGCCUCGGCCCUGGGACAGCGGCGUGCCGGGGCGGACAGAAGGGUUUGGCGCUCCCACCGUAAGGAGAUGCGCCCCAACCCCGAAUUAAGAACCCAAAUAGCGGUGCGUUGUGUGCCGCCUUGUCCCCUCGAUCCUACAGGACGUUGGGAUGUCUCUGCGGUUUGAGGAGCUCAGCCCGCGUCCCGCAGUGAGAGAAGGAUCCGCGCUCAUUGAUAACGUGAUAACCAGCGCUGCAUCCCCCCCUGCACUGAACGCUUCGUGCUUAUGUUUCUGUCACACUUGGUGGUGUUUUAAUCCCUGCAUCGUAGCGAGCGCUCGGCUCUCACUCGCACUGCCGGCAAGCAGACGGGCUGCGAACUUUCCUCCCUUUCUUGUUCCUUCUUUCCUUUCUAAAUGAAACACGCGGGCUUUGGGUAAGGAAGGGAGAAAUCCGAUUUACAAAACGAAAUCUGCCCCGGGAUGGUUUUUCUUGUUUAGCGGGAGAUGCUCGGCACACCGGGCUCUCUUCCUUAUCGCCGUGUGAACGGCGCUGGUAUUUAGGGAUUCUGUGUGCUGACGCGUUGGUGCCCUCACCUGCUUUUAGGUGCCUCGUUCUUAUAUUCCUAUAAGGGAAACCGAAGUGGAAGGGCAGGGCGGGACGUAAGGGGGGAGAGGAAGGGGGGGGAAUAGGUGACUUUAUUGGUGGUUGUUCCAGCCUAGGGCUUUUAUGGGGAGCCGUGCGCUGCCCUUAAGGCACUUGUGCAAGAUAACAAUAUUGGGCAAUUAGCAUCCCAAACAGUCCCGUUUCAGGGGAUGAAUGCGCAAGGCAAAGCCAUUACCCAUCGCGUUUUAUUUCGGUGGGAAUACAACAACAAACGCUGGUGGGAGCCAAUGGGGGAUGGGGAGGGAGGACCGGAGGCAGCGCUGAGCCGAUUCAGGGCAUUGUCUGCCUUUUGUAAACGUUAUCUUUUGACUUAAAGGCAGGGGUAGGACAGAAGAGAGUUGUUGUUUCCCUUGUUUCUAUUUUAUUUCUCCCUCUUAGGACACGGGGCAGCCCUGGAGGACUUUGGGACACGGGGAUACGGGGAUGCGCGGUUGUGCCCGCACCGGGCACCGCUGCACGCUUUUUGCGCGCUCUUUGCGCGCUCCCCGCGUGCCCCUGCCACCCGAUCGGCUCCGUCCGGGGGGACGCUUCGCAAAUAGCGAAGAUCUAUGGCAAGCGGUAACACUGCCUCGCGGGUUUUACGAGCCUGAAACGCCCUUCAAGUGCCAACUCCCUCCCGCUCCAGUCAUUGCUCCACUGAAAAUACGAAAAUACCUCGCUUCUUCCCCUUCCCUCUCCUUCUCCCUUUCUGCCCAAAUCGAACAGAACCCAAACUACUUUUAGGGCUUCAGACACCGGGGCUGCUCCCGGAGAGGUGCCGGGGCUGUGCACGACCGCACCCCCGCUCCUUCGAGGCUCGAGAGCGGAGCUGAAAGGAAAGCACUAUUUCAAGUGGCCCAAAUUAAUUUGAUCGCGACAUUAUGAUGCACUUGAAAAAGAUGAAAGAAAAGGCUACCCGUCUCCUCCAAGAUCUCUAUAAUUAUAGAUAAUAUAUCCUAUUUCAAAGCAAUUAGCUCAAUCAGGCGUAACGAGGCACUUUGCUGCCAGGGAGUAACAAUGCCUUACGGUUAUUUAAGCUUCAAGAUGUCAAGCAGACUUCGAGACUCUCUGCUUUGCCCGAGAGGGAACUUGGCUGCCUUGGUGCUAGCCCCAUGGCGAAGGCAGCGGUUCCUCUUUAGUGACAACACGCCUGUUUGACUUCAGCGUUAUUUUUAAAGCUCCUGCAGAUGUACCAGAGAAGCGUCUCUUUUCCAGGGGCAUUUGGGGCCGGCAUUUGCGUACCAUCCCUUCUGCCUUUCCUCGGUGCCUUCCCCCCCCCUCAUUUCAUGUGUUCUGUAGGGGAUUCCAACUGCUUCUCAGCGAGAGUGGAGGAAAAAGUGUUCAUGGGAUGAGAUCCCACGGCCUCCUGGUCCCAGCCGGCCCCUUCCUACCCCAAAGCUUUACUCCGAGCUCUCCUCGGUUUUGUUGUUUUGUUUUGUUUUGUUUUUGCCUUUCACUAUUAAUUAUUAUUGUUGUUGUUAUUAUUAUUAUUUUGACCUUGAAUGGUCACAGAUGCCAAAGGUCCCAAAGCAAAGUGAGCAUCCCGCUGCUGCAUCCAGCAGUGAGCCAUUGGGCCACAGAUGUGUAUGCCCGGGUGUGGAGUGGGGUCUGCCUGGCACCCAGGUGGGGAGCAGAGGCUGAAAUGCUGAAACCCCCUCGUCUUCACUGAAAGCUUCAGGAGGGGUGUGUGGAGUGGGUUGGCCCCACUGUUUCCAGGGGACCCAAAUGCCAAAGAAAAAAGAAAAAAAGGAAGGAAAAAGGAAGGAAGGAAGAAAAAAAGGAAUGAAGGAAGGAAGAAAAGAAAGGAAGGAAGGAAAAAGAAGACGUUUUUCCUCUUUCUCGUUGCUACUGCAAAGAGACGCUCUGGACGACCCGCACGGCACAGCUUAGCACGGCACAGCACGUCAAGGCAUGGCAUGGCAUGGCACGGCACGGCACGGCACGGCACGGCAUGGCACAGCACUGCACAGCCCCCGCCUGGCCCCGGCCCUGAGAGGCCGUGCGAGCAGUCCCAGCCCCUGCGAGGCGUUCUCGGAUGAAACGGUGCUGGAAGGAAAAAUGAGCAAGGGUACAAUUAACCUGUCAGCUCCCCUUGCAGGGAUUUUUUAUUGCUGGGGGGUAAGGGAGGGAAAAAUAUUAUAUAUAAAUAUACAUAAAAAAAAAGAAAAUACAACGAAAAAACCAUCGUCCCAUGGGUGAGUCAUUUGAACUGGACAAUUCAAGGGAAAUAGGAGGCCGGGGGCAUGAAUGAGGACUAAACAAAGUUUAACCACCCCUCCUUCUUUUCUCCAUGCGCAAAAUGGAAACCUUAUUACAUGAUUCACUGUGAAUCACUAGAUUGAAUGCGAUCAUUAUGAGUAAAUGAUAGUCCGGGCUCCGCCGGUCUUUUCUUUCCUAGAGGCAAAACUAUAAAAUAUGAAGGAUAUAAAUGAUCUCCGCUCCCUCAAAGGACGCCCAUUCACAGCCGCGCUCUGUCUCACUCCCAGUUCCUUUUGCCCCCCCCCGAACUCCCCAUGAUCAAGGUAGAUUACAACGAGUCCCUCUUUUUUUUUUUUUGGUCUUUGCGUGCUUGUUUAUUGGCAAAAUGUCACGAAAUGUAAUUUGCCCCAAAUUCUUUAACAUGAGAAAAUACUUUGUGGUUGGAAGAAUUCACACUGGUACUGCCGAGGCGAUCUCUGAUGCUCAGAGCAAGUUCCUUAUGCUGCCAUUUUACAGCGUUUCCGUGUUUACUCGUCGGUUCUCAGGAGCUUUUUACAUAUUGUUGCAUAAGAAAAGGAUUUAGCCAGCUCUAGUUAUGAGAUUUCCUAGAUUUUUUACAGGCGAGGCCAGUUUACAAAAGCUGUAUUGUUUGACUGCGGUCUGGGUUUCCAAUGGGGUAAUUAUUGUAUUCCCAGCCUUCUUCUAAUCAUUUGCUCACAAGGACAUAGUUUAGGAUUUUAUUUAUUUCUUUCUUUUUUGAACAAGAUGAAAUACUUCAAACUUGCAGGAUCAUUGGAAUAAGCCCUUGCUUCUUCUCUUGUUGUGUACAAGUUAUUCCUUACCUCUUUCUAAACUGCUGGAAAAUAUCUGUAUUUAAAGGACAGCGAGACAGUCCCAAUAGUUUGUUCCUAAUAGAAAGUUUGUUACCAAGAGAAAUGUUGAUGUGAAUGGAAAAACAACAACAGUAAAAAGUUUUCAGAAGGAAAUACAUUUCGUAUAGAUAAUAAUCAGCUCCUAGGGAAAGAAAAAAAAAAAGUACACUGAAAGAAAUAUCUCAGGAGAGCCAAUGCCUGCGUGCAGUAGUGCCUGUGCAGAGGGGUUUCCUACAGCUGCUGCCUCCUGAGCACAGCAGAGGGCACUGAGGCUGGAGGUGGUCUGCUCCUUCCUGCACCCCUUCUUGAUCAUGUCAGUCUCCUCUGUCUCCCUCUUUCAUUUGCAUCUGUAAAAAACGAGGCCUGAAAAUAUGAGGGCUACUCCGAAAGUAAUGCCUCCUGUUUUAUUCUGUUGACCCGCAACAUCAGUGACAGAUGUUGGUGAUGUGGCAGUAGAGGUUGAACCCUCCCACCAAUAUACCACUACAAUUUUUGCCAUGUAACAGAUGGCAGCAGAGGGGCAGUCUGACAAAGUGAUGUCUGACAUCAAAGUGCAGAUGAAGCAAAGGUGUAUCACUGAAUUCCUCCAUACAGAAAAAAUGGCACCCAGUGACAUUCACAGAUGCUUGCUGACUAUUUCUAGAGGCUAAACAGUGGGUGUGAGCACAGUGAGGUAGUAGAUGGUACAUUUCAGAAGUGGUGACAGUGACUCUGUUGGUACAGAUCUUUAAAAGCUCAGCGUGCAGACUCCUGUUCAUUGCAGAGCUAAUGGUAGUGACCGUGUUGAAAAAGAGUGUCUUGUAACUGAGAAUUUGCUCUAUCAAGCAGUGUUAUCAGUUGUAAUUUCCUUGGAAAUAAAUAGGAGGCAUUACUUUUGGAAGAACUGAUAUGGUUUUUAAUUUCCCUGUGCAAAGGAAACUACAGUUGCGCAGCAGCAUAACUGGUGCCAGGUAUCUUCCAGACUGUCUAUGAAGAAACAAAGUUACAUCACACUCCUGUAACUAUCAAAGCCAUCCGCAAACAGUUGGAACUGUCCUGGUGAGAUGUGACCUCCUCUUUGGGAACUGCAGCGCUUAAUUAUUUUGGAGAUGUGAUCUCACCACAUCCUUCUGCUGAGUGGCGGCUGAUGGUUGGAUAUGAUACUGUGAGUUACGUCAUUCUAAUAGACCAGUGUAACCAAACAAUUCCACUGCCGGAGGAGGAGGGGGAAAAAUCCCAAAUAUUUUGUAGGGAAACUGGAUUUGUCUUUCAGAAAGCUUAUGUUUGUCUCAGAUUUUCCAUCAACUGCAAGCGUAGACAUAAUCAAAAAUGUUCCUGGCUUGCCCAUUGCCGGGCUGAUUAGGACUUGGAACAGAAGAGAUAACAUUUCUCGACAUCAGGCUGCCUUGAGCUGCCUUCAUGUUAUUCCCUGCAUAUGCGUUUUUGACGUUAUUUAUGUAACAAGUGUGGGUUGUCUAUUGGUGUUGAGUCAUUUUGCCUUUCAACAGCUGUUUUGUUUCCAUCACUCAGGGCAAAACCUCUAGCAGCCCUUCAAGCAGCACCAUACUCCUUGUAGUCAUUAUUGCAGUCCUCAAGUGGAGGAGAGAAGCUUUCUGACCACUCACAGGCAUAUUGCUUUCUGACCACUCACAGGCAUAUUGCAGGGAGAUGGAGUCCUCCUGGGAUGCAGAGAUGGAGGUAAUCUUUCCAGAACUUGUGAGUUUUCAGUAGUGAUCAAGCCCUCUUUUCAGCCAUUUUACUCCCUUUCUCCUCCCGGUUUUUUGGAUUCAGUUAUCCUGGGACAUUAUUCUGCCCUUUUGUGUUCCCUGCCUGCCCCCAGCCAGCCCCACUGGCAUGACCUUUAGGGAUAAAAUUCAAUUGAUUUGGCUACUUUGCAGACAAAAUCUGAAGCCUGCCUUAAUUUGUAGUUUACUCGUCCUCUGAUGUGAGACUACGUAGAAAGCCCCUAUCUGAUCAAAUGGCCAGUACCUUGACACAGCCCAAUUAUGUGAAAAUAUAUCCUCACUUAUCAUUUCAGGCAUCGUAUAAGCAGAGAAACCAAAGUCGCUCCCUGUCUGUUUGAUUUUCCUGCUCAGACACACUUGUUUAAACAGGCACCGUGAGACUUUUCUAUAAUCCUCCUCAGAGGAGUUCAGAAAGGUCUGUGGGCCUGCGUGCCCCCAGCUGGAUGACUGUGGCUGCUCCAGCACAGCAGGCAGUGCCAGAGCCCCCCAGCAUCCCCUCUAGCACUGCCCACCUGGAUUCACCCUGGUGCUGAGCUGGGACUUUCCCUGGUUUCACUGUAUCCCCCUUCCUGACCCAGCCCUGCUUCAUCCCUUCCUGAGCUGGCCCCCUCUUGAGCUGGUCCCACUGCAUUCGCCAGCCCUGUCUCACCUGCUCUAUCCUGGCGACCUCAGUGGAGGCAACCAGUUGUCAAGGAAGUCAUUAAAGCUGACAGCUACCAAAUACUCAUCAUCCAGCCUGGAUUUACAGUGCACAAGAGCUGUCAGGCAAAAGGCAUCCCAGAGAGCUGCAGUCCCAUUGUCCCUGUUACGCACUUCACUGUAAUGCAUGACUCAGCCUGACAGACUCAAACUAGU